This 253-nucleotide ribosomal RNA is filed under the name uncultured bacterium. RNAcentral describes it as "partial 16S ribosomal RNA". It matches the Rfam family "Bacterial small subunit ribosomal RNA", at positions 524 to 776 of the family's 1533-position model. The record is from RNAcentral.
UACGAAGGGUGCAAACGUUGCUCGGAAUUAUUGGGCGUAAAGCGCACGUAGGCGGCUUGUCGCGUCGGAUGUGAAAGCCCGGGGCUUAACUCCGGGUCUGCAUUCGAUACGGGCAGACUGGGGGUAUGCAGGGGAGAACGGAAUUCCUGGUGUAGCGGUGAAAUGCGCAGAUAUCAGGAGGAACACCGGUGGCGAAGGCGGUUCUCUGGGCAUGUCCUGACGCUGAGGAGCGAAAGUGUGGGGAGCGAACAGG